This is a long non-coding RNA of Setaria italica (foxtail millet), 419 nucleotides long. RefSeq lists it as uncharacterized. Lineage: Eukaryota; Viridiplantae; Streptophyta; Magnoliopsida; Poales; Poaceae. The record is from RefSeq and is a predicted model, not a curated record. The transcript has 2 exons.
UAGCAUUACGUGAAAGCUCACUAAAUUGCUGUUGUAUUAUUUUGAGCGGGCUCAAGUUUCACUGAUCUUCCGCAGGUCAUCUCCGACUGGGAACCAUUGUGGAGAACAGUAACUUUGAGCUCACUGGUGACAGAGAGAAGAUGAAGGAUGGUGUGCUGAGCAGUAUCUCUGCCCUUGACAAGUUUGAACAGAGUGUUAAAGACUGUUUAGGUGUUUAAAUUUUUUUUUGGCUGGGUCCCAUCAAUUUUUCUAAGGUUUUAAAAUGAAUUAUUGUUUUUAUGUUCCUAAUAUUCCGGUGGUAAGGUUUCAUUUGCCUUUGCUCAUCAGGGCCUUUUGUUGUAGAACACACAUUAUGCAUUUGAUUUGAUCCUCGCAAAAAAAAUGCAUUUGAUUUGAUAUAUGUUACUUAUGGUAAAAAU